RNAcentral lists this ribosomal RNA (433 nucleotides) under uncultured bacterium. RNAcentral's name for it is "partial 16S ribosomal RNA". It matches the Rfam family "Bacterial small subunit ribosomal RNA", at positions 29 to 507 of the family's 1533-position model. The record is from RNAcentral.
AGCGAACGCUGGCGGCAGGCCUAACACAUGCAAGUCGAACGAACUCUUCGGAGUUAGUGGCGGACGGGUGAGUAACACGUGGGAACGUGCCUUUUGGUUCGGAAUAACUCAGGGAAACUUGUGCUAAUACCGAAUGUGCCCUUCGGGGGAAAGAUUUAUCGCCAUUAGAGCGGCCCGCGUCUGAUUAGCUAGUUGGUGAGGUAACGGCUCACCAAGGCGACGAUCAGUAGCUGGUCGGAGAGGAUGACCAGCCACACUGGGACUGAGACACGGCCCAGACUCGUACGGGAGGCAGCAGUGGGGAGUCUUGCGCAAUGGGCGAAAGCCUGACGAAGCCAUGCCGCGUGAAUGAUGAAGGUCUUAGGAUUGUAAAAUUCUUUCACCGGGGACGAUAAUGACGGUACCCGGAGAAGAAGCCCCGGCUAACUUCGUG